CCUACGGGAGGCAGCAGUGGGGAAUUUUGGACAAUGGGCGAAAGCCUGAUCCAGCAAUGCCGCGUGAGUGAAGAAGGCCUUCGGGUUGUAAAGCUCUUUUGUCAGGGAAGAAACGGUGAGAGCUAAUAUCUCUUGCUAAUGACGGUACCUGAAGAAUAAGCACCGGCUAACUACGUGCCAGCAGCCGCGGUAAUACGUAGGGUGCAAGCGUUAAUCGGAAUUACUGGGCGUAAAGCGUGCGCAGGCGGUUUUGUAAGUCUGAUGUGAAAUCCCCAGGCUCAACCUGGGAAUUGCAUUGGAGACUGCAAGGCUAGAAUCUGGCAGAGGGGGGUUAGAAUUCCACGUGUAGCAGUGAAAUGCGUAGAUAUGUGGAGGAACACCGAUGGCGAAGGCAGCCCCCUGGGUCAAGAUUGACGCUCAUGCACGAAAGCGUGGGGAGCAAACAGGAUUAGAUACCCUGGUAGUCCACGCCCUAAACGAUGUCUACUAGUUGUCGGGUCUUAAUUGACUUGGUAACGCAGCUACGCGUGAGUAGACCGCCGNGGGAGGUACGGUCGCGAGAGUUAAACUACAAUAGAGUUAGUACGGACGUGAGACGUUGCCGACGGACGACGACGAGGGGAGGUAGGGNG
This 632-nucleotide ribosomal RNA is filed under the name uncultured bacterium. RNAcentral describes it as "bacterial SSU rRNA". The stretch from base 1 to 541 matches the Rfam family "Bacterial small subunit ribosomal RNA", at positions 338 to 873 of the family's 1533-position model. The record is from RNAcentral.